GGAUGUGAGGGCAAUCUGGCUGCGACCUCUGCUACCCCAUUGAUUGCUAGGGGUGAUUUGGCUGAUCUGGCUGGCUAGCCAGGUGUCCCCUUCCUCCCUCACCACUCCACGUGUGUCCCUCCCAAAGCUGCAGGCCCAGUGGAAGAGGAUAACCUUCCCCAGAGGAAGACCGCUUUUCGGUCAAGGGUAUACCAGUGGCUGUGCUCUCUGCUCGAACCUUCAAACAAGCUCUGAAGGUGCAUUUAUAGAGAGCGUAGGAUAGUCAAAUUUUCCAGACCCCGGACACAUCCAAAUGAAGCCCUGUGUGUGGCAGGCUGCCUUUCUGU
Equus caballus (horse) is the source of this 326-nucleotide non-coding RNA. The record is from Rfam. Lineage: Eukaryota; Metazoa; Chordata; Mammalia; Perissodactyla; Equidae.